UAGUGUUAAUGUCUUGAGUACUACUGGAUGUUUCCAACAUUUUGUGAUCUCCUCCUCUAGGACUCGUUGCAUAAAUAUUGUGCUAUUAGGGGGGUAUCAGCUAAUUAAAUCAAAGUGCUCUUUGACACGGAGAUUCACAGACCUGUAAGCGAAUCUCACAUAUGAAAAAAAUCGUUGUUUUCUUUGCUUAAUUUGAUUGUGUAUAUUCCCGGAUAUUUAAAUAUCUUGCAAAUAAUUAUCUAAAUUUAUUGUGCAUGAUAUCUUGUCUACAAUGCAACUUUUAAAUAUUCCUGUUGGAGGAAAAAUAGAAAAUGAUAUCGGAAGUGACGAAGACUAUCAAGAUAGAAUAAUCAUUUACGUAAGCCCUUGUAUAGCUCAGUUUGCCGUGGCUCUAGCCGAUGACACUCUCUGGAAACCUGUCAACUAUCAAAUAAUGUUGAAGUCUCCUCAUAAUUCUCCCAAAGUGAGAUUUGCCACUUUGCAUGAAUUAGUUCAGAAAUUAGGAGAGAAUUAUCUGAUUUUAUUACCAGAAUCCAUUCCAUUCCUAGCAGAACUGAUGGAAGGCAGUUUUGGGUUGGAACAUCUUAGCCAUCCAAUGUCUUAGCCAUGUGAAAUUUAGAUGUACCGUAAUAUACAAAAUUUGGGUUAGCUACAAAUCAAAUGAACAUGAGCAGGAUGUGAAUACCUUUUCUUCAGCACAGACACAUCGAUAAUGAGACGUUUAAGCGAAGAGAGAAGCAGAG
RNAcentral lists this unclassified non-coding RNA (743 nucleotides) under Centruroides sculpturatus (bark scorpion). RNAcentral's name for it is "hEAT repeat-containing protein 1-like, transcript variant X4". The record is from RNAcentral. Lineage: Eukaryota; Metazoa; Arthropoda; Arachnida; Scorpiones; Buthidae.